This 318-nucleotide ribosomal RNA is filed under the name uncultured Enterobacteriaceae bacterium. RNAcentral describes it as "bacterial SSU rRNA". It matches the Rfam family "Bacterial small subunit ribosomal RNA", at positions 355 to 664 of the family's 1533-position model. Lineage: Bacteria; Pseudomonadati; Pseudomonadota; Gammaproteobacteria; Enterobacterales; Enterobacteriaceae. The record is from RNAcentral.
UGGGGAAUAUUGCACAAUGGGCGCAAGCCUGAUGCAGCCAUGCCGCGUGUAUGAAGAAGGCCUUCGGGUUGUAAAGUACUUUCAGCGAGGAGGAAGGUGUUGUGGUUAAUAACCGCAAGCUAAUGACGUUACUCGCAGAAGAAGCACCGGCUAACUCCGUGCCGGCAGCCGCGGUAAUACGGAGGGUGCAAGCGUUAAUCGGAAUUACUGGGCGUAAAGCGCACGCAGGCGGUCUGUCAAGUCGGAUGUGAAAUCCCCGGGCUCAACCUGGGAACUGCAUCCGAAACUGGCAGGCUAGAGUCUUGUAGAGGGGUAGGA